AGCUCCAAUAGCGUAUAUUAAAGUUGUUGCAGUUAAAAAGCUCGUAGUUGAAAUAUUGAUAUGGCCAACCGGUCUCGUGCUUUGUCGUGAGUACUUGUGUUGUGCCAUAACAUUCUUGGUGAUAACCUGCCUGGCAUUAAGUUGUUGGGUUUGGUGAAAACCAUCGUUUACUGUGAAAAAAUUAGAGUGUUCAAAGCAGACUUAUGUCGUUGAAUACAUUAGCAUGGAAUAAUAAUAUAGGACUUUUGUACUAUUUUGUUGGUUAGGUGCAAAAGUAAUGAUCAACAGGGACAGUUGGGCAUAUUCGUAUUUCGUUGCUAGAGGUGAAAUUCUUGGAUUUCCGAAAGACGAACUACUGCGAAAGCAUUUAUGAAGGAUGUUU
RNAcentral lists this ribosomal RNA (382 nucleotides) under uncultured eukaryote. RNAcentral describes it as "SSU rRNA". It matches the Rfam family "Eukaryotic small subunit ribosomal RNA", at positions 587 to 969 of the family's 1831-position model. The record is from RNAcentral.